Molecule: RNA transcript, 4322 nt
Organism: Magnolia sinica
Lineage: Eukaryota; Viridiplantae; Streptophyta; Magnoliopsida; Magnoliales; Magnoliaceae
Exons: 7
Source: RefSeq, a predicted model, not a curated record
CUCUCCCUCUCCCCCUCGCACGCUCUCCCUUUCCCUCUCCCUCUCCCUCUGCCUCUCCCUCUCGCUCUCCUCUCACUCUCACUCUCCCUAUCUAUCUCUCUCUCAAAACCCUAUUCCUCUCUCUCUCUCCCCCUCUCUCUCUCUAUCUCUUGGCCCUCUGCUGCAGUUCGGUCUUCUGUUGCUCGUGGAUCUCGGAUUCUCAUCCAUCUCAGGUUUCUUCAAGGCCCUGAUACAGAUCAAGGAACUGUCUCUAAAAUUACAGAGGCUAUCAAAGAACAGAAGGAAAUCACCGUUCAGCUGAUCAACUACACAGAGUGGUAAGUUGCUAAUAUCAGUACUUCCAGGUAUGAUGUCACUAUACCAUGUCAGUUCCAUUAUUUAUUGCAUUAGGAACUCAACUUUUACAGUUGCUUGUUAUGUUUACUAUAAGAUAUCUAUGAAGUAAAGGUUAUUUGUGUGUACUAUUGACACUCUUUGGGGAUAGUUCAUUGGAUCUAUGAGGAGACUGCAUUUGCUCCAUUAAUAAGGAGAUAUUAGGUUUUACCUUUGAUGCUUUUCCAUGUGCUUGACCUUUGAAACCUGGGAACUGCAGGGAAAAAGUUUCUAUAAAUAUGCUAUUUAAUUAUAUUUCAUUUCUUAAUAUCUGUAACUUGCUUUUUUGUCUCAUUUACUUUACUGAUGGGAGUAGGUACAUGUUUUUCUUAACUUGGGUUUCAAUUGUUUCCCUAUGGAGUGUAAAUAAAUUGAGACAGAAACAACCCUGAAAGCAUAUCAGAUUAUCAGUUUUUAAUUGAGUGGCUUACAGUUUUUUUCUGAAAAUAUUCCAGACACUAGAAAGGAAAGAAUCUUUGAAUCUACUGUCUUGUCUCACAAGUUUCUAUAAUUAUGCUAUUUAAUUCUAUUUCAUUUCUUAAUAUCUGUAACCUGCUUUUUUGUCUCAUUUACUUUACUGAUGGGAGUAGGUACAUGUUUUUCUUAACUUGGGUUUAAAUUGUUUCCCUAUGGAGUGUAAAUAAAUUGAGACAGAAACAAUCCUGCUUCUCGUUUCUCAAUUGUAAUUAUAUCAGGGAUUUUUCGUUUCUCAAUUGUAAUUCUGUCAAUUUCAAUUUGGACCUGAAAAAACGGGGCUUUAAUGACAAUGAGCGUUUGAUUGUCAUAUAAUUUCAUCCAAGUAUUAGGAAAAGCAAAAUAUUUGUUAAGCUUGAUACGUUUGUACUUCUUGUAGUGUCUCCUUCAGCAUAUCUCUUGUAAAAAUUGCUACUGCAUUAGCUGAAAAAUGGGAUUGCUCUGUCUAGGUAGCCAUAUGCAAUUGGGAGCACAUGAUUUGUAGAGCUGUGGGAGCACUUGAUCAUUUCUCUAAUUUAAAUUUCAGUUUACUCAGUUCAUAAUUUCUGUGUUCAGAUAUCCCAAAUACCAAAAACAUUAGUUAAUGCAUACAAGAAAGUAGCAAGAACGUAGGAGGAAAAAGUGCACAUAAUGUCCUAGAUCAAAGCCUUAAAAAACUAACGAGUCCUAAUGAUUUCCUUCUAUGUUCGGCAAUCUCUGCACAUAAUUUGUGAAUAUCAUUAGCCACUGAAUGCAUAUACUUUCACAUAAACCAAAUGAGAAUUCUUCUCUAAAAAUUGAAAAUUUUUUAAGGCAUGGAACUCAACAGAAAUUAAACUGGAAUUCUAAAAACUCAACAAAAAUGUUUCAAAGAGAAAAGGCCAUUGACAAAAUGAAAAUGACUCUUAUCAAGUGUUUGCCUCACUGUCAUCUCAUGCACAUGCCAGUCCUCCUGACUAAGAUAAUCCGAAGUCCUUUGAUGAACGAACUCCUUCAUCCCAUGUCCAUUAUAGGUAAUGCACCCUGAUGUUUGUAAACAUUUCAACGGCAGUAACAAGUCACACAGUUUUUUCUUUUCUUUUAAGAGAACAACUGUGAAACAAAUUUGACAUGGUUGUUGCUGCCAAACAGGGAUAUGAGGUGCUGGACAGAGUUCCAUGAAAAUUCCAAAUCGGCAAAAAGUUUUUGAAUAGGUAAACUGGGCUUGAAUCAGAGACCUAAUACCUCUCCACAGUCCACACAAACAUUUAAAUGCAGCACAAAUGCAUAUGGGGACAUCAUAGCUGUACAAAAAGCUUGGUGGUCAUUGGUUGGAUCCUUGUCGCGGGCACAUUUGUCUUGUGUGGUGUAUUUCUUCUUCUCCACAAGACGUGAUCGAAGUUCUUCUUACUAGUAUCCGUGGGGUUACUGUUGCUAGAGGAAUUGUCUUGAGUAAGGAUCCGCUCACAAAAGUAGGCGGGUUCCCACUUGGAAAUGGUUUUUGGGAAGUAUAUAUUUAGGUGGCAAUUGUACGUGAAGAGACUUUGAUGAGACCCUAUGGACGAUACGUAACAAUUGGGGAUGCGGUUGGAACAAGUAUUUGUUGGCCUGAUUGUUGUUGUUUGGUUGUGACAGCUAUGGAUUGAGCUAAAUGGAGGGAUCUCUCUCUCUCUCUCUCUCUCUCUCUCUCUCUCUCUCUCUCUCUCGUUAUAUUUGAAAACAAAAAAAAAAAAUUGAUCUUGGCAGUUGGUUGUGACAGCUAAUGUUUGUUUCAUGGUAGUAUUUUUUUCACGUUUCCGUUUUCAGAAGUUCAGAGAAGUAAAAUUUCUAAGUUGGUUUGAAAUUUUUUUUUUAGUUCUGUCUUCUGAUUUUUUUUUGGAUUCGAAGUGGAAUUGGAGUUUUAGAACAUCUUAUUGAGUUGGUGAAUAGCUGGUUUUGGAAACUGAUUCUUGUCGAAGAAUCGGUUUCUUGGAUUUUGGUUGAAGGGGAUUUUAGCUGUAUUUUACUGAUUUUGUGGAAGCAUCGUGGUGAAUUAGAUGUUUGGUUUUGAAGAUAUUUUGCAUUUUGAUAUCGUUUAGAAGGAAUUGCAGCUGUUUUGAAUGUAGUGAAUUGAUUGAAAUGUCUCAAUUAUGAUAUUUUCUGUAGUUUCUCUCACAGAUUACAUUGAUGUCUUGUUUUACAAAAACAAAGUUGUGGUGGUUUCCAUGUUGUGUGAAAUGGAUGUGGAAAUGUCUUAUAUCAGAAAUACAACUCUUUACAUAUUCGUAGUGGGAUUCCAUCGCUAUGUUCUUGAAAUAUUUAGUAGUUUUGCUUGACUAAUCUAUGGAGAUUUAUGUUGUGAUUUGUUUCAGCUUUUCAUCUUCUUAUGGUGUAGAUGCAUUUUCCCUUCUUAUAGUGGAGAUGCAUUUUCAUCCGGACUACUUGGCAGUAAGAGUGAGGUGGAUGUAAGUUUCUCGAAACCUUAAAUUAAUCUGUGACAUUCAUAAACUUGUGCCUAUAUCUUCUAUUUUAACUGCCUGAUGUAGCAUGUAUAACUAUUGACAUGACCAUGAUAAGGCUGAUAAUUGAUUUUUGGUAAUUGUAAUGAUGGCAAUCAAUAGAUAAAUGGUACAUAUUACUGGGCUAUGGGCCCCACUUGUCAUUUCUGAAUACCUGUGUAUAUUGUUAAGAGAUGCGCAUUACGUAUAUAGGGAGUUAUUUGAUACUCUGGCAGCGUAUGACACUUAACAAUAUAUUUCUUGUUUUGUUUCUACUUUAGAAUUAGAUGAUAUUUCCAAGCUCGUGCUUGAAUUAUUUGAAGUGCCUAUGAUGGCUUUAAAUAUACUUUUGAGUUAUAACUAUGAAAAAAUAUGAUCAAGGCACGUCUAUUUAUCUUUAUUUUUUUCUUAAUUAUUCUCUAUUCAAUUUCAGAUGAUUGCUUUCAACUUAGAGAAUAGAGGCUUUAUUACUCGAACUCUAUUUAUAACAAUUCACAUUUAUUUUAGAAAUAUUUGUGCCCGUGAUUUGUUUGCUUUUUGUGCAGAUUUUGAAUAAAAGGCUUUAUCAGCAUGCCUUGGCUGUCUUCUUGUGUUAAUUACAGCAAGAAGUGUGUUCGUUUGGUAGUGUUCUUUUGUGUCAUAUUGUAAGAUUCAAGCUUUUCCGUGAAGAUGGUUUGGAUUUUUGGGGCGGCUCAUGCAGGUGAAAUACCUUUGAAUCAUGAAAGCAACUCACAAGACUAAUGUAGAUUUUUACUUUGGCAUGUGAAAUCAUUUCUUUUAUGGACACGAUAUGUACUAACUUCAAGCCUUUUUGCAGUCAUCAGGAUAUUUGUGUUGGGACCUGUACCAUUUUAGUUCUGUCUUUCUUCAAUAAAGCAGUGGUGUGUCUAUAUUGAACCGAAACAUGAAUUUAAUGUCUGGAACAUGCUAGAUUGGGCUCUUAGUCAAUUGGUACGUUUAAAUUGACACUUCAGUUUACAGAGGAUUAUCCAAAUAAGCCACCAACAGUUCGGUUUGUUUCUAGAAUGUUUCAUCCAAACA